CCGGUUUAAGCGUGUAGGUGUGUGUUCCAGGUAAAUCCGGUUCACUUUAACACUGAGGCGUGAUGACGAGGCACUACGGUGCUGAAGCAACAAAUGCCCUGCUUCCAGGAAAAGCCUCUAAGCAUCAGGUAACAUCAAAUCGUACCCCAAACCGACACAGGUGGUCAGGUAGAGAAUACCAAGGCGCUUGAGAGAACUCGGGUGAAGGAACUAGGCAAAAUGGUGCCGUAACUUCGGGAGAAGGCACGCUGACACGUAGGUGAAGUGAUUUACUCAUGGAGCUGAAGUCAGUCGAAGAUACCAGCUGGCUGCAACUGUUUAUUAAAAACACAGCACUGUGCAAACACGAAAGUGGACGUAUACGGUGUGACGCCUGCCCGGUGCCGGAAGGUUAAUUGAUGGGGUCAGCGCAAGCGAAGCUCCUGAUCGAAGCCCCGGUAAACGGCGGCCGUAACUAUAACGGUCCUAAGGUAGCGAAAUUCCUUGUCGGGUAAGUUCCGACCUGCACGAAUGGCGUAAUGAUGGCCAGGCUGUCUCCACCCGAGACUCAGUGAAAUUGAACUCGCUGUGAAGAUGCAGUGUACCCGCGGCAAGACGGAAAGACCCCGUGAACCUUUACUAUAGCUUGACACUGAACAUUGAGCCUUGAUGUGUAGGAUAGGUGGGAGGCUUUGAAGUGUGGACGCCAGUCUGCAUGGAGCCGGCCUUGAAAUACCACCCUUUAAUGUUUGAUGUUCUAACGUGGACCCGUGAUCCGGGUUGCGGACAGUGUCUGGUGGGUAGUUUGACUGGGGCGGUCUCCUCCUAAAGAGUAACGGAGGAGCACGAAGGUUGGCUAAUCCUGGUCGGACAUCAGGAGGUUAGUGCAAUGGCAUAAGCCAGCUUGACUGCGAGCGUGACGGCGCGAGCAGGUGCGAAAGCAGGUCAUAGUGAUCCGGUGGUUCUGAAUGGAAGGGCCAUCGCUCAACGGAUAAAAGGUACUCCGGGGAUAACAGGCUGAUACCGCCCAAGAGUUCAUAUCGACGGCGGUGUUUGGCACCUCGAUGUCGGCUCAUCACAUCCUGGGGCUGAAGUAGGUCCCAAGGGUAUGGCUGUUCGCCAUUUAAAGUGGUACGCGAGCUGGGUUUAGAACGUCGUGAGACAGUUCGGUCCCUAUCUGCCGUGGGCGCUGGAGAACUGAGGGGGGCUGCUCCUAGUACGAGAGGACCGGAGUGGACGCAUCACUGGUGUUCGGGUUGUCAUGCCAAUGGCACUGCCCGGUAGCUAAAUGCGGAAGAGAUAAGUGCUGAAAGCAUCUAAGCACGAAACUUGCCCCGAGAUGAGUUCUCCCUGAGACUUUAGGUCUCCUGAAGGAACGUUGAAGACGACGACGUUGAUAGGCCGGGUGUGUAAGCGCAGCGAUGCGUUGAGCUAACCGGUACUAAUGAACCGUGAGGCUUAACCUUACA
RNAcentral lists this ribosomal RNA (1448 nucleotides) under Salmonella enterica. Its description in RNAcentral is "partial 23S ribosomal RNA". It matches the Rfam family "Bacterial large subunit ribosomal RNA", at positions 1507 to 2925 of the family's 2925-position model. Lineage: Bacteria; Pseudomonadati; Pseudomonadota; Gammaproteobacteria; Enterobacterales; Enterobacteriaceae. The record is from RNAcentral.